CUCAAAAGUUUGGGGUCGGUAAGAUUUUUAAUGGAGUGUAAAGAGUGAAGGAUACUGUUCCUCCAGCAGCAAGUUCUCAGUGGCAUGUCUGUUCUCAUCGCCGAUGGAGCUGUCCAGCGUCCAAGGCUGAACACACACCAACAACAACACAUCAUAUCCAUUUUCAGAGUAUCUUUACAUAUAGUGUUAAAACAGUUAUCAUUUUAGGGUGAGCCAUAUUACUUUACCAGUAUACUGCUGUUUGUCUUCCAAGCAGACUGUACUGAUCCUGGAGAAUCUCAGCACUGCUUAGGUCCCUGUUAAGAGAGCAGACAAAUAAUAAAGACGUUAAUUCCACAAGAAUGUGUUUACAGAAAUCAGUUUACGAAAGACAACUAUGAAGUACACGAUUACAGAAGAUUUAAAAGUGCAUAGUUUGGUUAAAACUAUUUUAUUGAUUCUUUUUUAUUUCUUUUUUUACAUUUAAGUACACUGAGGAAUAUUUAAUUAACAACAUGUACUUACUAAAGGAUUAGGGCUUUGAUUUAGACUUAGUUGCAAGGCGUUAUGCAUUAUUUACUGUUAUUAUACUAUAGUAAUUGCACAUAACAUGUAAAAAUGACACUGUAAAAUAAAGUAUUACCAAGUGUGCUCUGUUAACACACAUUCCGUUUCUAGUAUCCACGUGUGUCAUGCGAAAAUUACUGGAUUUACAUUGUCAUCACAGCAGUUAAAAAUGAAUAUAACGUUGCUUAUAUGGUUAGUAACCAUUUUAUCAUAAAGUUUAUGUUAACAUGUAUAAUGUAUACGUUUUAUGGUUUUGAAAUGUUUAUUCCAAUGCAAAGUCUUGCCCCACACAGGCUUCCAUUGUAAAUUAGACUGCCUACUAAGGAUCCUUAACAUCGAGACAUCCUUAGAUGGAGCUUGAUAAUGUGGCAGCUUGGAUAUACAGCCUUAUAAUGAAGUGCCCUUCCAUUUGAGAAGCACCCAUUGCCUGGUCACCCUUAUGGACUCUUAGACCACUCCUUGUGCCUGUAAAGGAUCCUUAAGUGAUUUUCCUUCAUCAAAGUCUUACCUGUUCCAUUUUAAGUCUCCAGUGAUCUAUACUCACCUCUGUGUCUCCAGCGAUCUCCUGUACUCUCCUUCUAGUCUCCUCUGUGUACUCACCUUCUAGUCUCCAGCGAUCUCCUGUACUCACCUUCUACGAUCUCCUGUGUACUCACCUUCUAGUCUCCAGCGAUCUCCUGUGUACUCACCUUCUAGUCUCCAGCGAUCUCCUGUACUCACCUUCUAGUCUCCAGCGAUCUCCUGUGUACUCACCUUCUAGUCUCCAGCGAUCUCCUGUACUCACCCUCUAGUCUCCAGCGAUUUCCUGUGUACUCACCUUCUAGUCUCCAGCGAUCUCCUGUACUCACCCUCUAGUCUCCAGCGAUCUCCUGUACUCACCUUCUAGUCUCCAGCGAUCUCCUGUGUACUCACCUUCUAGUCUCCAGCGAUCCCCUGUGUACUCACCUUCUAGUCUCCAGCGAUCCCCUGUGUACUCACCUUCUAGUCUCCAGCGAUCUCCUGUACUCACCUUCUAGUCUCCAGCGAUCUCCUGUGUACUCACCUUCUAGUCUCCAGCGAUCUCCUGUACUCACCUUCUAGUCUCCAGCGAUUUCCUGUGUACUCACCUUCUAGUCUCCAGCGAUCUCCUGUGUACUCACCUUCUAGUCUCCAGCGAUCUCCUGUACUCACCUUCUAGUCUCCAGCGAUCUCCUGUGUACUCACCCUCUAGUCUCCAGCGAUCUCCUGUACUCACCUUCUAGUCUCCAGCGAUCUCCUGUGUACUCACCUUCUAGUCUCCAGCGAUCUCCUGUGUACUCACCUUCUAGUCUCCAGCGAUCUCCUGUGUACUCACCUUCUAGUCUCCAGCGAUCUCCUGUACUAUUUUUAUUUUUAUUUUGAAAAAGUCAAUUAUUUGUAGUUAUUAUACAUAUAAUUAUAAAACUUAUUUUAUUAUUACACAAUUGAUAAUUAUACAUGAAGGCCUACUAUUUACUAUUACUAUUAAAUUAUACAUUUUUAUUUUAGUUUUUUCUGUUAUUCUUAUUCUUUUAUGGUUCUUAUUAUUUGUCUUCUUCCAUAUCCAGCUGUAUCAGGUGGCCGACCACUUUCUUUUCUCCCAUUGGUAGUCACUGCAUCACAGCUUAUUUGCAAAUGUAUUAUUAUUGCUGUUGUUGUUAUUUCUCAUGCACCACAGCACAGGAGGCAUUGGCCUCCUUCUACCUCCACUAAGUUCAGCACAAACACCUCCCAAACACGUGUUAGUCUCCCACAAGAAGCUGAAUUGGACCCCAACCGUCACCCACCGAGCGAGGCAUCACUAUUGAUCUUCACUGUCAGUGAGAGAUAUAAAGCAGGUAUUCGCUAUGGUAAGAGUGACUCAGCUGAGCAAGGGUGAGUGAGAGCGCCACACCACCUGACGCCAUGAUUUGUUCCUAUAGAUGUGGAGGGACACCACUCAACAUCACCAUCAAAGACAGCGAUCCCGCGGGAAACUGAACACAGAAGCCCAUCCAUCACCCACUGAGGUGCUUCAUCAAGCUCUGUGAUGAGUGCAGCUGUAAUGCAAAGAUUACCAAUUCUCUGAGAUGUUGGCUUCUGAUAGGACGUCCUGCUUUUGUAUUAUUAUACAUCUUAGUCACUGAAGACUAUCGAGUUCGGAGUAUUUCUUCUAGGGCUGUCAAUUGUUUACACUUUUUAAUCUAAUUAAUUACACAGUUUGGCAAUUAAAUUAUCUAAUUAAUCACAUAUUAAUCACACAUCAAAUUUGGCUGAGAAAUAACCCACAAAAGAUCAUUUAAAGCCAUUAUUGUGUUACAAGAGAAAAUCAUGAAAUUGAU
Long non-coding RNA from Cyprinus carpio carpio, 2864 nucleotides. Lineage: Eukaryota; Metazoa; Chordata; Actinopteri; Cypriniformes; Cyprinidae. The record is from Ensembl.